GAAAUGCGAUAAGUAAUGUGAAUUGCAGAAUUCAGUGAAUCAUCGAGUCUUUGAACGCACAUUGCGCCCCCUGGUAUUCCGGGGGGCAUGCCUGUCCGAGCGUCAUUGCUGCCCUCAAGCACGGCUUGUGUGUUGGGCCCCCGUCCCCCCCGGGACGGGCCCGAAAGGCAGCGGCGGCACCGCGUCCGGUCCUCGAGCGUAUGGGGCUUCGUCACCCGCUCUGUAGGCCCGGCCGGCGCCUGCCGACACCAUCAAUCUUUUUUCCAGGUUGACCUCGGAUCAGGUAGGGAUACCCGCUGAACUUAA
RNAcentral lists this unclassified non-coding RNA (306 nucleotides) under uncultured Penicillium. Its description in RNAcentral is "partial contains 5.8S ribosomal RNA, internal transcribed spacer 2, and large subunit ribosomal RNA". The stretch from base 1 to 105 matches the Rfam family "5.8S ribosomal RNA", at positions 50 to 154 of the family's 154-position model. The record is from RNAcentral. Lineage: Eukaryota; Fungi; Ascomycota; Eurotiomycetes; Eurotiales; Aspergillaceae.